RNAcentral lists this ribosomal RNA (111 nucleotides) under Xenorhabdus doucetiae. Its description in RNAcentral is "partial 16S ribosomal RNA". It matches the Rfam family "Bacterial small subunit ribosomal RNA", at positions 1423 to 1533 of the family's 1533-position model. Lineage: Bacteria; Pseudomonadati; Pseudomonadota; Gammaproteobacteria; Enterobacterales; Morganellaceae. The record is from RNAcentral.
GAAGUCGGUAGCUUAACCUUCGGGAGGGCGCUGACCACUUUGUGAUUCAUGACUGGGGUGAAGUCGUAACAAGGUAACCGUAGGGGAACCUGCGGUUGGAUCACCUCCUUA